This is a long non-coding RNA of Musa acuminata AAA Group (dessert banana), 3436 nucleotides long. RefSeq lists it as uncharacterized. The transcript has 10 exons. NCBI's taxonomy places the organism in Eukaryota, Viridiplantae, Streptophyta, Magnoliopsida, Zingiberales, Musaceae. The record is from RefSeq and is a predicted model, not a curated record.
CUACGGAUAUUACCAACCUUUCUAACCCUUGAAAUCCAACCCUUUUCUUCCAACUUAGUAUCGAUCGAUUGUCCCACCAUGCUUGAUCUCCGUCACCUCGAAUCCCUUCUCGCUGGACGACUUGUCUCCUCCUCUUCUUCGUGCAUUAACCAGGACACAUGACCAAGCCUCCAUCCCUACACCAAUAGAACAGAACCAACCCAACCUUUCAAUCAUAAAGAUCUCAACUUCACAAAUAACGAGAAGUCUCAAAAAGAUCGUCUUUUUCUUUUGUUUAACUGAAAGGAUCCAAGUGUAAAACCAACCUUCUUGAGAGCUCUACGUACGACUCCCGAAGCUAACAGACGCCGAGAGGGAAACAAGAAGCGGUUCCCGAGGAAGGCCGGAACCGAGAGAAAGGGGAGCCAACGAGGGCAGAGCGAGGCAACGGAGAGCGGAAGACAUGGGGCGAGGUCUCAUGCUUGAAGAGCACGAGGAAUACAAAACCCUACACCCUCGUCAAGGGCGACUACCCUGUAAUCCGCCGAUGAGAGCGAGCCCGAAGGCGCCAUGAAUGAUGACGAUGCUACUCGCAUGCUGCUUCCACCACGGGAUGAUGCCAUGGGAAACCGUCGGCCAGUGCGGAUGAGCGGCCGGCCGACGGGAGACGCACAAAACCGGCAACCCAUCCAAGAACGAAGCAAAAUGCGCAAUUAAAAGAAAAUAAUGACGUCUCAAAAAACCCUAUUUAUCAUUGUAGAUUUUCAUAUGGCAUACAAAUAAUUAUAAUUAAUUAAUAUAUUUAAAAGAAAAUGUCUCUAAUAUUUCUUCUCUCAGACUACGGAAGAAAAAAAAAAAGAAAUUAUAAUUAUGUUCUAUCCUCUACUGUCAUUGCUUAGGUUAUUUGCUCUAUCUCACAGACAUGUAUAGCUAAUUAAUCUUUUUAGUUAUGCUUAGUGUGAUGAAUGGAUGUAUUCUUAGAUAGCAGGAAUCUUCUGUGCGUACGUGCUUCGGUCUUGAGCAUGUCAUGUAAUCCUCCACUUCAAGUUUCGAAUCGACUGUUCUGUGGAAGGAGAUUAGUGGAGGUCUUGGAAGCGUGUUGCGAGUGAACAUGAGCAUGGAGAUCAGCAAGGUUAUGGAGUAUGAGGCAACUGCCAAGCAGAAGUUGCCUAGGAUGGUCUUUUGACUACUAUGCCUCGGGCGCAGAGUGCCAAUGGACUUUGAAGGAGAACAGGGCGGCCUUUUCAAUGAUUCUGUUCUGCCGUCGCAUACUCAUUGAUGUCUCCAAGGUUGAUAUGACCACAACUGUACUAGGUUUUAAGAUAUCGACCAUGAUUGCUCCAACAGCAAUGUAGAAGAUGGCCCAUCCUGAUGGUAUGGUUUUCCUGCACCUUGGGUGUCUUUCAUUUGCACCAAGUUUCAGGAUGUAUACAAAUUUUAUUGCCUUUACCAUGUCACUAUCGAAAUCAGCUGGCCUUCUUAGAUUCAUGAUCUGAAGUUGCAACGUGGUAUCCUUUUUUCUUCUGCUUUUAUAUUGUGAAGUGUGGAUGAGUUUUUGAACCACAUGCUUGGAUAUCAUCUAAGAAAUUGAAUUACUGCAUUUAGUUGCUAUUGUCGCCUCAGGCAUAAGUGUCAAGCUAUCUACCAUAUUAAUAUUUUGCAUUGCUGCAUCUUACAAAUGAACCUUCUAAUGUUGAAUCUCUUGUUAUGCCUCAGGAGAGUAUGCUACCGCAAGAGCAGCAUCGGCAGUUGGCACUAUUACAGUUGACUAUUGUUUCUUGUGUUUUUUGUGGUCUAAUAAUUUGAUCCUAAUUAUACUUAAGCAUCAUAUAUGGACCUUAGAGACUAUCAAGAUCAUUCGGUUAGCCAAUAGACAAACUGCAGUUGCUAGGAAGUCAUGGUAAUCCGAGUGAUUGGACAAACAAAUUUUUGGCAUGACAAAGCUUCAUGUAGAAUUGAAUUUUGUCCACUUCGAAGUCCAUAAUUUUUUUUUGCAGAAACUUAUUUUGGAAUUUCUUUUCAAACUUAUCUAAAUUGGUGACCAAGUUGGCUGACCUUUUUUCUACACAAAAGAAGAGAUAGCAUAUGGAGAUUGUGAGUAGCAAAUGUAAGUACAUUUUGGUGGGAAAUUUGUGUCAUGUUCAUUCUUGGUAUAGACUUCCUAUUAUUAUCUUGGUUAUGCAUUGACUGUCUUUGUAUGAAUAAUGGUGCUAUGCUUCAUGAAUGAAAACACCUCUUGACAGAUAUCUCUUCUGCACUGCAAAAUCCACCAUCCUCAAGAAAGAUAAUGACUAUGAACUCUUAUGUUCUGAUUCUCUCAAUGCAGAUUGAUUAUUAUUUAAGAAAAUUUAAGGAGGAAGUCAUUUACUGGACGAAGUGCAAUGCCUUAACUGUAUCAUAUACAAAAAUGGUGUGUGAGUCCCUGAUUUGGUGGAGCAAUCUACCAAGCAGCAUGGAUUAAUCAAGAGAACUGAAUAGAGAAGCACAAAUUUGUUAGAUUUGCUUCAUUGUGCACUUGAGACUUCCACUUGCCAAAACACUGUCAUCAUGGGCAACUUCCAGAAUCGAAGAGGUUGCUUCUACAGGACCAGGAAUUUGAUUCUUCCAGCUCUAUGUGUAUAAGGAUAGGCACGUAGUUGCACAGCUUGUCCAAAGAGCUGAAAGAGCAGGAUUCAAGGCAAUACCACUUACAGUCGACACUCCAAGACAUGGCUGGAGAUAAGCAGACAUCAAGAACAGAUUCACUUUGCCACAAUUUUUGACACCCAAAAAACUUUGAGGGUUUGGACCUUGGAAAGAUGGACAAGACCGAUGACUCUGGCCUUCCUCAUAUGUAGCGGGUCAAAUUGAUCGAUCAUUAAGCUGGAAGCGAGACUUGCGAUUCAAGCGGGUGCAGCUGGUAUCACUGUCUCCAACCAUGGAGCUCGUCAGCUUGAUUACGUUCCAGCUACAAUCAGUGCACUGGAAGAGGUUGUCAAAGCCUCACAGGGCCGUGUUCCUGUCUUUCUCGACGGUGGCGCUCGCAGAGGAACUAAUGUGUUCAAGGCUUUAGCUUUGGGAGCCUCUGGUGUCUUUAUCGGAAGGCCUGUGGCGUUUGCUUUGGCUGCUGAAGGUGAAGCUGGAGUGAGGAAGGUGCUGCAGAUUCUGUGAGACGAGUUUGAGCUGACAAUGGCAUCGAGUGGGUGCACUUCACCGAGAGAGAUCACCCGAAGUCACAUAGUGACUGAGGCAGACAGCCAUCUCCCUGCAUGCCUCGAGGUUAUGAUGCUCCUGAGGUGAUUGCCGGCCUCGUUCAACAAGAACAGAUCUGCAUCAAUAUCUCUUGAUGUUGGACUCUCUUCUAAUCGUGGCAAUGUAAUCUAAUUUUGUAUGUAUAUUCUUUUAGCAUAUUUGGUCACCAAUCUGAUUCAAGAAUUGCCAGAUGAAGUAUAUAUGCCAAACGAGAGAUUCUCUGUCA